This 740-nucleotide ribosomal RNA is filed under the name Pseudogymnoascus sp. Its description in RNAcentral is "partial large subunit ribosomal RNA". It matches the Rfam family "Eukaryotic large subunit ribosomal RNA", at positions 81 to 842 of the family's 3401-position model. Lineage: Eukaryota; Fungi; Ascomycota; Leotiomycetes; Thelebolales; Thelebolaceae. The record is from RNAcentral.
CAGUAACGGCGAGUGAAGCGGUAACAGCUCAAAUUUGAAAUCUGGCCUCACGGUCCGAGUUGUAAUUUGUAGAGGAUGCUUCGAGCAUGGUCUGGCCUAAGUUCCUUGGAACAGGACGUCAUAGAGGGUGAGAAUCCCGUAUGCGGUCAGGUGCCUACGCUCAUGUGAAGCUCCUUCGACGAGUCGAGUUGUUUGGGAAUGCAGCUCAAAAUGGGUGGUAAAUUUCAUCUAAAGCUAAAUAUUGGCCAGAGACCGAUAGCGCACAAGUAGAGUGAUCGAAAGAUGAAAAGCACUUUGGAAAGAGAGUUAAACAGUACGUGAAAUUGUUGAAAGGGAAGCGCUUGCAACCAGACUUGCGCGCGGCCGAUCAUCCGGUGUUCUCACCGGUGCACUCGGCCGUGCUCAGGCCAGCAUCGGUUUCGGCGGUUGGAUAAAGGCCUCAGGAAUGUGGCUCCUCUCGGGGAGUGUUAUAGCCUGGGGUGCAAUGCAGCCUGCUGGGACCGAGGACCGCGCUUCGGCUAGGAUGCUGGCGUAAUGGUUGUAAGCGGCCCGUCUUGAAACACGGACCAAGGAGUCUAACAUCUAUGCGAGUGUUUGGGUGUCAAACCCAUACGCGUAAUGAAAGUGAACGGAGGUGAGAACCCUUAAGGGUGCAUCAUCGACCGAUCCUGAUGUCUUCGGAAGGAUUUGAGUAAGAGCAUAGCUGUUGGGACCCGAAAGAUGGUGAACUAUGCCUGAAU